RNAcentral lists this transfer RNA (75 nucleotides) under Candidatus Endomicrobiellum glyptotermitis. RNAcentral describes it as "tRNA-Val". It matches the Rfam family "tRNA". Rfam says of the family: Transfer RNA (tRNA) molecules are approximately 80 nucleotides in length. Their secondary structure includes four short double-helical elements and three loops (D, anti-codon, and T loops). The record is from RNAcentral. Lineage: Bacteria; Pseudomonadati; Elusimicrobiota; Endomicrobiia; Endomicrobiales; Endomicrobiaceae.
GCCCGGUUAGCUCAGUUGGUUUAGAGUACUUUCUUGACAUGGAAGGGGUCAGAAGUUCAAAUCUUCUACCGGGCA